RNAcentral lists this ribosomal RNA (483 nucleotides) under uncultured bacterium. RNAcentral describes it as "partial 16S ribosomal RNA". It matches the Rfam family "Bacterial small subunit ribosomal RNA", at positions 28 to 523 of the family's 1533-position model. The record is from RNAcentral.
GACGAACGCUGGCGGCGUGCUUAACACAUGCAAGUCGAACGAUGAAGCCGGAGCUUGCUCCGGUGGAUUAGUGGCGAACGGGUGAGUAACACGUGAGCAAUCUGCCCUUGACUCUGGGAUAACUGCGGGAAACUGUAGCUAAUACCGGAUACGACACCUUGGGGCAUCCCAGGGUGUGGAAAGAAUUUCGGUCAAGGAUGAGCUCGCGGCCUAUCAGCUAGUUGGUGAGGUAAUGGCUGACCAAGGCGACGGCGGGUAGCCGGCCUGAGAGGGUGACCGGCCACACUGGAACUGAGACACGGUGCAGACUCCUACGGGAGGCAGCAGUGGUGAAUAUUGCACAAUGGGCGAAAGCCUGAUGCAACAACGCCGCGUGAGGGAUGAAGGCCUUCGGGUUGUAAACCUCUUUUAGCAGGGAAGAAGCGAAAGUGACGGUACCUGCAGAAAAAGCACCGGCUAACUACGUGCCAGCCGCCGCGGUAA